RNAcentral lists this ribosomal RNA (408 nucleotides) under uncultured bacterium. RNAcentral's name for it is "partial 16S ribosomal RNA". It matches the Rfam family "Bacterial small subunit ribosomal RNA", at positions 28 to 526 of the family's 1533-position model. The record is from RNAcentral.
GACGAACGCUGGCGGCGUGCUUAACACAUGCAAUUCUAACGGAGUGGCGAACGGGUGAGUAACACGUGGGUGAUCUGCCUUGCACUUCGGGAUAAGCUUGGGAAACUGGGGUUAAUACCGGAUAUUGCAAGAUGAGCUCGCGGCCUAUCAGCUUGUUGGUGGGGUAAUGGCCGACCAAGGCGUCGACGGGUAGCCGGCCUGCGGGUGUGUACGGCCAAAUGGGGACUGGGAUACGGCCCACGCCCCUACGGGAGGCAGCAGUGGUGAAUAUUGCACCAUGCGCGGACGUAUGAUGCAGCGACGCCGUGUGGGGGAUGAAGGCCUUCGGGUUGGAAACUCCUUUCGACAGGGACGCGGUACCUGUAUAAGAAGCACCGGCUAACUACGUGCCAGCAGCCGCGGUAAUUC